AUACGUAGGGGGCAAGCGUUGUCCGGAAUUAUUGGGCGUAAAGGGCUCGCAGGCGGCUUCUUAAGUCUGAUGUGAAAUAUUGCGGCUCAACCGCAAGAGGUCAUUGGAAACUGGGAGGCUUGAGUAUAGGAGAGGAAAGUGGAAUUCCACGUGUAGCGGUGAAAUGCGUAGAGAUGUGGAGGAACACCAGUGGCGAAGGCGACUUUCUGGCCUAUAACUGACGCUGAGGAGCGAAAGCGUGGGUAGCAAACAGGAUUAGAUACCCUGGUAGUCCACGCCGUAAACGAUGAGUGCUAGGUGUUAGGGGUUUCGAUACCCUUAGUGCCGCAGUUAACACAUUAAGCACUCCGCCUAGGGAGUACGGCCGCAAGGCUGAA
Molecule: ribosomal RNA, 377 nt
Filed under: uncultured bacterium
Lineage: Bacteria
Description: bacterial SSU rRNA
Rfam family: Bacterial small subunit ribosomal RNA
Source: RNAcentral